CUGAAGCCUUAUUUACAUAAUAUAAUAUGCAAAUGUACUGCUUAAGCUUCACUGACACAAUACAUAAUGACUUCUUUUGCAGCUGCCUCGCAAAUUAAAAGCAGGACUGGGAGAGAUCAUCUCUGAGUGUCCAUGAUAACAUCAUCAGGAACCUGAUUAUCACGAUAUUAUUGUAUUGUAGAUGAUCUGCACGUGUCCUGUCAUGAAGAAACUUAAAGUUGAGGGGUCGCAGGGAACCUGGAGCCUAUCCCACGGAGCAUCGGGCACAGGGCGGUGUACACCCUGGACGGGGUGCCAAUCCAUCGCACGGCACAAUCCCACACCUAUUCAUACACAACGGACAAUUUUGACAUGCUAAUCAGCCUACCAUGCAUGUCUUUGGACUGGAGGAGGAAACCGGAGUACCCAGGAGAACAUGCAAACUACGUAUUGUAAUUAUAUAAGAGAAAAACAAGACAUUAUUGAAAAAAUAUUAACACCCCCCA
Molecule: long non-coding RNA, 485 nt
Organism: Ictalurus furcatus (blue catfish)
Lineage: Eukaryota; Metazoa; Chordata; Actinopteri; Siluriformes; Ictaluridae
Exons: 3
Source: RefSeq, a predicted model, not a curated record